GAUGAACGCUAGCGGCAGGCCUAACACAUGCAAGUCGAGGGAGACGCUCUUUCGGGGGCAGAAACCGGCGCACGGGUGCGUAACGCGUAUGCAACCUACCUUUCACAGGGGGAUAGCCCGAAGAAAUUUGGAUUAAUACUCUAUAAUACUAUUGGAUGGCAUCAUUUGAUAAUUAAAACUGCGGUGGUGAAAGAUGGGCAUGCGUCCUAUUAGCUAGUUGGAGUGGUAACGGCACCUCAAGGCUACGAUAGGUAGGGGUCCUGAGAGGGAGAUCCCCCACACUGGUACUGGGACAGGGACCAGACUCCUGCGGGAGGCAGCAGUGAGGAAUAUUAGUCAAUGGUCGGAAGUCUGAACCAGCCAUGCCGCGUGCAGGAAGAAUGCCUUAUGGGAUGUAAACUGCUUUUAUAGGGGUAGAAUAAGGCGUACGUGUACGUUGAUGACGGUACCAGAUGAAUAAGCAUCGGCUAACUCCGUG
Molecule: ribosomal RNA, 478 nt
Filed under: uncultured bacterium
Lineage: Bacteria
Description: partial 16S ribosomal RNA
Rfam family: Bacterial small subunit ribosomal RNA
Source: RNAcentral